UUAACCCGCAAGACCGACGGCCCACCGCCGCCGCUGGGGCAAGCCCAGCCGCCGCCCACAACGCGGCGGGCGCUCAUGGGUAACAA
This 86-nucleotide ribozyme is filed under the name unclassified sequences. RNAcentral's name for it is "Twister_sister_ribozyme". It matches the Rfam family "Twister_sister_ribozyme". The record is from Rfam by way of RNAcentral.